GAUGAACGCUAGCGGCAGGCUUAAUACAUGCAAGUCGAACGGUAAGUUUGGUAGCAAUAUCAAACCAAGAGUGACGUACGGGUGCGUAACGCGUAUGCAACCUACCUUGUACAGGAGUAUAGCUCGGGGAAACUCGAAUUAACCCUCCAUGAGAUCAUAGAAUGGCAUCAUUUAGUGAUUAAAACUCAGGUGGUACAAGAUGGGCAUGCGUCUGAUUAGAGUUGGCGGGGUAAUGGCCCACAAGACGAUGAUCAGUAGGGGACCUGAGA
Molecule: ribosomal RNA, 269 nt
Filed under: uncultured bacterium
Lineage: Bacteria
Description: partial 16S ribosomal RNA
Rfam family: Bacterial small subunit ribosomal RNA
Source: RNAcentral